This 377-nucleotide ribosomal RNA is filed under the name uncultured Deferribacteres bacterium. RNAcentral's name for it is "bacterial SSU rRNA". It matches the Rfam family "Bacterial small subunit ribosomal RNA", at positions 521 to 896 of the family's 1533-position model. The record is from RNAcentral. Lineage: Bacteria; Pseudomonadati; Deferribacterota; Deferribacteres.
UAAUACGAGGGGUGCUAGCGUUGUCCGGAAUCACUGGGCGUAAAGGGUCCGUAGGCGUUUUGCUAAGUUGAUUGUUAAAUCCAUCGGCUCAACCGAUGAUCUGCAAUCAAAACUGGUAGAAUAGAGUUCGAGAGAGGAAAGUAGAAUUCCUGGUGUAGCGGUGACAUGCGUAGAUAUCAGGAGGAACACCAAUGGCGAAGGCAGCUUUCUGGCUCGAUACUGACGCUGAGGGACGAAAGCGUGGGGAGCAAACAGGAUUAGAUACCCUGGUAGUCCACGCCGUAAACGAUGAGUACUUGAUGUCGGGGGAUUCGACCCCUUCGGUGUCGUAGCUAACGCGAUAAGUACUCCGCCUGGGGACUACGACCGCAAGGUUG